AUUAUAAUAUCUUAAAACGUAAUUUGCGACGCGAUACGGUUUCUUCGACGCUUGCGUUUCGCGACUUUUUUUUAUGGGGCCCCAUACGCGCUUUGCGUCGACGCGAUUCGAUUUCUUUUUGCUGCGGUAUAUACGCGUGAAGAAAGAAGAUCAAAGAAUAGGUGAGUAAGAAUGUAUUGUUAAUCACAUUAUGCAUUGUUACGUACAUUGGUUGUUUUAGAUUACGUGUGACGUCACGAAGCAGUGAUGACGUAACAGAAGAACCUGCUUCAACAUGGGUAUGUGACGUCACACAGGAUCCCGCCGCUGCUUCUCUCACUCGCAAA
Molecule: non-coding RNA, 326 nt
Organism: Ciona intestinalis (vase tunicate)
Lineage: Eukaryota; Metazoa; Chordata; Ascidiacea; Phlebobranchia; Cionidae
Source: RefSeq, a predicted model, not a curated record